This 275-nucleotide ribosomal RNA is filed under the name Streptomyces sp. ET121. Its description in RNAcentral is "partial 16S ribosomal RNA". It matches the Rfam family "Bacterial small subunit ribosomal RNA", at positions 233 to 526 of the family's 1533-position model. Lineage: Bacteria; Bacillati; Actinomycetota; Actinomycetes; Kitasatosporales; Streptomycetaceae. The record is from RNAcentral.
GCGGCCUAUCAGCUUGUUGGUGAGGUAGUGGCUCACCAAGGCGACGACGGGUAGCCGGCCUGAGAGGGCGACCGGCCACACUGGGACUGAGACACGGCCCAUACGGGAGGCAGCAGUGGGGAAUAUUGCACAAUGGGCGAAAGCCUGAUGCAGCGACGCCGCGUGAGGGAUGACGGCCUUCGGGUUGUAAACCUCUUUCAGCAGGGAAGAAGCGAAAGUGACGGUACCUGCAGAAGAAGCGCCGGCUAACUACGUGCCAGCAGCCGCGGUAAUAC